Molecule: ribosomal RNA, 467 nt
Filed under: uncultured bacterium
Lineage: Bacteria
Description: bacterial SSU rRNA
Rfam family: Bacterial small subunit ribosomal RNA
Source: RNAcentral
UGAACGCUGGCGGCAGGCCUAACACAUGCAAGUCGAGCGGAUGACAGGAGCUUGCUCCUGAAUUCAGCGGCGGACGGGUGAGUAAUGCCUAGGAAUCUGCCUGGUAGUGUGGAAUAACUGCCCGAAAGGGUAGCUAAUACCGCAUGUUGAGCCGACAUCAGUGUCGUCUCCAAAGCAGAAAUGCGCUAUGGGCGGGGCCUGCGUUCGAUUAGCUAGUUGGUGGGGUAACGGCUCACCAAGGCGACGAUCGAUAGGUGGUCUGAGAGGACGAUCACCCAGACUGGGACUGAGACACGGUCCAGACUCCUACGGGAGGCAGCAGUGGGGAAUAUUGGACAAUGGGCGAAAGCCUGAUCCAGCCAUGCCGCGUGUGUGAAGAAGGUCUUCGGAUUGUAAAGCACUUUAAGUUGGGAGGAAGGGUUGUAGAUUAAUACUCUGCAAUUUUGACGUUACCGACAGAAUAAGCA